Gossypium arboreum is the source of this 107-nucleotide non-coding RNA. The record is from Rfam. NCBI's taxonomy places the organism in Eukaryota, Viridiplantae, Streptophyta, Magnoliopsida, Malvales, Malvaceae.
AUCUAGUAGUGAGGGCAUAUACGAAGUAACUCAUUGAAUCUUUCUCAUGCCUCAUAUAGGGACUCAUCAUCCAUCUGCUGAAAACUAGUAAUCUCAUUCCACAACUU